AUACGUAGGUGGCAAGCGUUGUCCGGAUUUACUGGGGGUAAAGGGCGUGCAGCCGGGACGGCAAGUCAGAUGUGAAAUCCAUGGGCUUAACCCAUGAACUGCAUUUGAAACUGUCGUUCUUGAGUACCGGAGGGGCAAUCGGAAUUCCUAGUGUAGCGGUGAAAUGCGUAGAUAUUAGGAGGAACACCAGUGGCGAGGGCGGAUUGCUGGACGGCAACUGACGGUGAGGCGCGAAAGUGUGGGGAGCAAACAGGAUUAGAUACCCUGGUAGUCCACACUGUAAACGAUGGAUACUAGGUGUGCGGGGACUGACCCCCUGCGUGCCGGCGUUAACACAAUAAGUAUCCCACCUGGGGAGUACGAUCGCAAGGUUGAAACUCAAAUGAAUUGACGGGG
Molecule: ribosomal RNA, 396 nt
Filed under: uncultured bacterium
Lineage: Bacteria
Description: partial 16S ribosomal RNA
Rfam family: Bacterial small subunit ribosomal RNA
Source: RNAcentral